GGACGAACGCUGGCGGCGUGCUUAACACAUGCAAGUCGAACGGAGGUAGCAAUACCUCAGUGGCGAACGGGUGCGUAACACGUGAGGAACUUGUCCAUCGGCGGGGGAUAGCCGGGCCCAACGGCCGGGUAAUACCGCGUACGCCGGCGGAAGCGCAUGCUUCUGCCGGGAAAGCAGCAAUGGCACCGAUGGAGAGCCUCGGCGGCCUAUCAGCUUGUUGGCGGGGUAAUGGCCCACCAAGGCAACGACGGGUAGCUGGUCUGAGAGGAUGAUCAGCCACAUUGGGACUGA
RNAcentral lists this ribosomal RNA (291 nucleotides) under uncultured bacterium. RNAcentral describes it as "partial 16S ribosomal RNA". It matches the Rfam family "Bacterial small subunit ribosomal RNA", at positions 27 to 322 of the family's 1533-position model. The record is from RNAcentral.